This 463-nucleotide ribosomal RNA is filed under the name Vreelandella stevensii. Its description in RNAcentral is "partial 16S ribosomal RNA". It matches the Rfam family "Bacterial small subunit ribosomal RNA", at positions 338 to 795 of the family's 1533-position model. The record is from RNAcentral. Lineage: Bacteria; Pseudomonadati; Pseudomonadota; Gammaproteobacteria; Oceanospirillales; Halomonadaceae.
CCUACGGGAGGCAGCAGUGGGGAAUAUUGGACAAUGGGCGAAAGCCUGAUCCAGCCAUGCCGCGUGUGUGAAGAAGGCCUUCGGGUUGUAAAGCACUUUCAGUGGGGAAGAAAGCCUUGGGGCUAAUACCCUCGAGGAAGGACAUCACCCACAGAAGAAGCACCGGCUAACUCCGUGCCAGCAGCCGCGGUAAUACGGAGGGUGCGAGCGUUAAUCGGAAUUACUGGGCGUAAAGCGCGCGUAGGCGGUCUGAUAAGCCGGUUGGAAAGCCCCGGGCUCAACCUGGGAACGGCAUCCGGAAUGGUCAGGCAGGGGUGCAGAGGGGAAGGGAAGAAUUCCGGGGGUGGCGGGGAAUGGGGUGGGGACGGGAAGAAAAACCGGGGGGAAGGGCGGCCUCCGGACCGGCCACGACCCCUGGGGGCCAAAGCGGGGGUAGGCAAACGGGAUAGGUACCCCCAUUGUU